RNAcentral lists this transfer RNA (71 nucleotides) under Deuterodon giton. RNAcentral's name for it is "Astyanax giton tRNA-Gln". It matches the Rfam family "tRNA". From Rfam's summary of the family: Transfer RNA (tRNA) molecules are approximately 80 nucleotides in length. Their secondary structure includes four short double-helical elements and three loops (D, anti-codon, and T loops). The record is from RNAcentral. Lineage: Eukaryota; Metazoa; Chordata; Actinopteri; Characiformes; Acestrorhamphidae.
UAAGAAGUGGUGUAAGGGGAACACCUAGAGUUUUGAUCUCUUGAAUGUGGGUUCGAAUCCCCCCUUCUUAA